AGAGUUUGAUCCUGGCUCAGGAUGAACGCUGGCGGUCUGCUUAACACAUGCAAGUCGAACGGAACUUUUCGGAGUUCAGUGGCGGACGGGUGAGUAACGCGUGAGAAUCUGCCUUCUGGUCGGGGACAACCACUGGAAACGGUGGCUAAUACCGGAUGAGCCUACGGGUAAAAGAUUUAUUGCCAGAAGAGGAGCUCGCGUCUGAUCAGCUAGUUGGUGAGGUAAAGGCUCACCAAGGCAUCGAUCAGUAGCUGGUCUGAGAGGAUGACCAGCCACACUGGGACUGAGACACGGCCCAGACUCCUACGGGAGGCAGCAGUGGGGAAUUUUCCGCAAUGGGCGAAAGCCUGACGGAGCAAGACCGCGUGAGGGAGGAAGGCUCUUGGGUUGUAAACCUCUUUUCUUGGGGAAGAAAAAAAUGACGGUACCCAAGGAAUCAGCAUCGGCUAACUCCGUGCCAGCAGCCGCGGUAAUACGGAGGAUGCAAGCGUUAUCCGGAAUUAUUGGGCGUAAAGCGUCCGCAGGUGGCACUUCAAGUCUGCUGUCAAAGGUCGGGGCUUAACCCCGGGAAGGCAGUGGAAACUGAAGCGCUAGAGUGUCGUAGGGGUAGAGGGAAUUCCCGGUGUAGCGGUGAAAUGCGUAGAGAUCAGGAAGAACAUCGGUGGCGAAGGCGCUCUGCUGGACCAUAACUGACACUCAGGGACGAAAGCUAGGGGAGCGAAUGGGAUUAGAUACCCCCGUAGUCC
Molecule: ribosomal RNA, 746 nt
Filed under: uncultured cyanobacterium
Lineage: Bacteria; Bacillati; Cyanobacteriota
Description: bacterial SSU rRNA
Rfam family: Bacterial small subunit ribosomal RNA
Source: RNAcentral